UACGAAGGGGGCCAGCGUUGUUCGGAAUCACUGGGCGUAAAGCGCACGUAGGCGGAUUUGUUAGUCAGGGGUGAAAUCCCGGGGCUCAACCUCGGAACUGCCUUUGAUACUGCAAAUCUCGAGUCCGGAAGAGGUGAGUGGAAUUCCUAGUGUAGAGGUGAAAUUCGUAGAUAUUAGGAAGAACACCAGUGGCGAAGGCGGCUCACUGGUCCGGUACUGACGGUGAGGUGCGAAAGCGUGGGGAGCAAACAGG
This 253-nucleotide ribosomal RNA is filed under the name uncultured bacterium. RNAcentral's name for it is "partial 16S ribosomal RNA". It matches the Rfam family "Bacterial small subunit ribosomal RNA", at positions 524 to 776 of the family's 1533-position model. The record is from RNAcentral.